RNAcentral lists this ribosomal RNA (775 nucleotides) under uncultured Neocallimastigales. Its description in RNAcentral is "partial large subunit ribosomal RNA". It matches the Rfam family "Eukaryotic large subunit ribosomal RNA", at positions 24 to 649 of the family's 3401-position model. Lineage: Eukaryota; Fungi; Neocallimastigomycota; Neocallimastigomycetes; Neocallimastigales. The record is from RNAcentral.
UAUGUGAUCGUCUCUCGCAUAUCAAUAAGCGGAGGAAAAGAAACUAACAAGGAUUCCCCUAGUAACGGCGAGUGAAGCGGGAAGAGCUCAAAUUUGAAAUCUUAAAGGGUUUCCCUUUACGAAUUGUAGUUUAAAGAAGUGUUUUCUGUUGAGGUUUUGGUAAAAGUUCUUUGGAAUAGGACAUCAUAGAGGGUGAGAAUCCCGUAUUUGACCUUUACUUUCAACUUUGUGAUACACUUUCAAAGAGUCGGAUUGUUUGGGAAUGCAGUCCAAAAUGGGUGGUAAAUUUCAUCUAAAGCUAAAUAUUGGCGAGAGACCGAUAGCGAACAAGUACCGUGAGGGAAAGAUGAAAAGAACUUUGAAAAGAGAGUUAAACAGUACGUGAAAUUGUCAAAAGGGAAGCGUUUGACACCAGUGUUGUUUUUCUGAAAAUCAAUUAAAGAACUGUUUAUGCUAAGUUGUUUAGACUUUAUCAGCUAUCUGUUUAGUUUUGAGCUUUUCUUUAAUGCACUUUUCAGUUAACAAGUCAACAUCAAUUUCUUUUGCUGUAAAAAAGGCUUGAGGAAGGUGGCUUGAGAUUCGUCUUAAGUGUUUAUAGCCUCUUGCCUAUGCAGUCGGAGAGAUUGAGGUCUGCAGCGUAGAUCCUUCGGGGCUAAAUGCAUUUGUGCUAAGUUAUAGCAUUUUAUAGACAACUUGUUGACUAUGAUUUGUCUUGUAGCUUACUCGCUUAUGUUAUUUUACCUACGCUUAGGAUGUUGAGUAGCGACAUACGCAC